This 227-nucleotide unclassified non-coding RNA is filed under the name Hevea brasiliensis (rubber tree). Lineage: Eukaryota; Viridiplantae; Streptophyta; Magnoliopsida; Malpighiales; Euphorbiaceae. The record is from RNAcentral.
UGGAUGAUAUAGAUGAUUCCUUCAAGAAACCUGGAGCUGUCCCUUUUAAGUGGGAGAUCCGACCCGGUGUUCCCAAGAUCCAUACCCAUCAACAAAAACUCCAACCAAAGCAAUUAUCACCACCCGCUUUACCAUCCCCAUCACCGCCUUUCACCCCUCACCGUUCACCACCUACUCCACGAACUCAACAAAAGCUUAAACUUAAACCCCCGCCAGCUGGAUUCAUU